Molecule: ribosomal RNA, 227 nt
Filed under: Paenibacillus validus
Lineage: Bacteria; Bacillati; Bacillota; Bacilli; Caryophanales; Paenibacillaceae
Description: Bacterial small subunit ribosomal RNA
Rfam family: Bacterial small subunit ribosomal RNA
Source: Rfam by way of RNAcentral
UUAAUGGAGAGUUUGAUCCUGGCUCAGGACGAACGCUGGCGGCGUGCCUAAUACAUGCAAGUCGAGCGCUUGGGGUGUUCCCUUACGGGAAACCCCCUGGAGCGGCGGACGGGUGAGUAACACGUAGGCAACCUGCCUGUAAGAUCGGGAUAACUACCGGAAACGGUAGCUAAGACCGGAUAGCUGGUUUCUCCGCAUGGGGGAAUCAUGAAACAUGGGGCAACCUA